CAGCAGCCGCGGUAAUACCGGCGGCCCGAGUGGCGGUCACUAUUAUUGGGCUUAAAGCGUCCGUAGCCGGGUUGGGAAGUCCUCCGGGAAAUCUGGCCGCUUAACGGUCCGAAUGCCGGAGGAUACUCCCAGCCUAGGGAGCGGGAGAGGCCGAGGGGAUUCCCGGAGUAGGGGUGAAAUCCUAUAAUCCCGGGAGGACCACCUGUGGCGAAGGCGCUCGGCUGGAACGCGUCCGACGGUGAGGGACGAAGGCCAGGGGAGCAAACCGGAUUAGAUACCCGGGUAGUCCUGGCGGUAAACGAUGCGGACUUUGUGUCGGACAAGCUAUGAGCUUGUCCGGUGCCGGAGGGAAACCGUUAAGUCCGCCGCCUGGGGAGUACGGCCGCAAGGCUGAAACUUAAAGGAAUUGGCGGG
Molecule: ribosomal RNA, 414 nt
Filed under: uncultured microorganism
Description: bacterial SSU rRNA
Rfam family: Archaeal small subunit ribosomal RNA
Source: RNAcentral